Long non-coding RNA from Miniopterus natalensis, 392 nucleotides. RefSeq lists it as uncharacterized. The record is from RefSeq and is a predicted model, not a curated record. Lineage: Eukaryota; Metazoa; Chordata; Mammalia; Chiroptera; Miniopteridae.
UCUCUAGGGGCAGAGCCAAAGGCUGAGAACUUCUGGAGGCACCACAAGUAAGGAUCCUCCGGGCUCUGGAGGCACCACAAGCGUCCUCUGCAGAGAAAGGCGAGGAAAAGGAAGGCCAGAGAGGAGACACACAACCCAAGGUCACAUAAUAAAUUAUGAGCAGAAUCAGGACUAGAACCCAGAUCUGCUGUCUCCCGGGUUAGAGACUCUGCCUUCAGGGAGAAUAUAAAAGGCAAGUUGGCAGAGGCCUCAGUGGGUGAAAAGGGCCCACUGGAGUGGGCACAGCUCAGUGGAAGAAAACAUGGGUUCGGGAGAAAGACCUAGGUAUGGAUCCUGAACCGGCCACUUACUUGCCAUGAAUGACAUGAUUGCCUAUUUAGAAAUUUUGAAAG